This 651-nucleotide ribosomal RNA is filed under the name Symbiodinium sp. B1. Its description in RNAcentral is "eukaryotic LSU rRNA". It matches the Rfam family "Eukaryotic large subunit ribosomal RNA", at positions 1 to 670 of the family's 3401-position model. Lineage: Eukaryota; Dinophyceae; Suessiales; Symbiodiniaceae. The record is from RNAcentral.
UUUUUCAGCAAGAUCCCGCUGAAUUUAAGCAUAUAAGUAAGCGGGGGAAAAGGAAUUAAAUAGGAUUCCCUCAGUAAUGGCGAAUGAACAGGGAUGAGCUCAGGCUGGAAACCGAUACAUCUGUGUCGGGCUGUAGCCUGCAGGCAUAGCGCUAUCGGCGGCUCGAGCGCAAGCCUGUUGGAAUAGAGCGUGUGCCCGGGUGAGAAUCCUGCAUUUCGCUCGAUGUCCGCUGUCCACAGUGCUUGUCCUGAGAGUCACGCUCCUCGGAAUUGGAGCGUAAAUCAGGUGGUAAGUUUCAUCCAAAGCUAAAUAGAAGCUCGAGACCAAUAGCAAACAAGUACCAUGAGGGAAAGAUGAAAAGGACUUUGGAAAGAGAAUUAAAAGUGUUUGAAAUUGCUGAGAGCGUAGCGAACGGAGCCACAUGUCGUGCUGAGAUUGCUGUGGGUCUUUGUGAGCCUUGAGCAUGUAAGCGCAAGCUGACUGCUUAUGUGUGAGCAUUUGCCCGCAGUGUUUCUCAGCAUGCGAGUCAUUAGCCACAUUUGUUUGAGGAUGGCCUUCAGCUCACAUGGAACACUGUGCGGUGUGGGACUCAGACAGGUGUGGCUUGUUGACCCAGUGGUUUUUUUCGACCCGUCUGAAACACGGACCAAG